Magnolia sinica is the source of this 1478-nucleotide long non-coding RNA. RefSeq lists it as uncharacterized. The record is from RefSeq and is a predicted model, not a curated record. NCBI's taxonomy places the organism in Eukaryota, Viridiplantae, Streptophyta, Magnoliopsida, Magnoliales, Magnoliaceae. The transcript has 5 exons.
UUAAUCGGUUCAGUUGUUUGUAACUUCUUUGAUAUAUAUGGUUAAUUGAGUUUUUUGAGGAGUUGCGGAGAAGAUCAUCUUGGCAUUUCUUAAGUUUGUUCUUAUUUAUUUGUUUGUCAUGUUCCUUGUGAAUUACUAUGGGAUUUCUUUUGUGCUAAUGGGAAUGUUUAUUGGAAGCUGUGGUGAUAUAAUGUGAUUUUUUUUAUUCGUUCAAUUUGAUUAUUAUUACACGUCUUGUGUUUUCAGUAGCUGCAUUUUUUCUUUUGAAGGUUUUCGGGUGGUGGUCCAUUGUUCCAUGGUGUGGACCAUUUGGUGAUUGGAUGUCUAUGAUUCUUGAGAAAUCCCAUAAAUGUGGGAUGUUCGUUUUUCCAUUUGAUUUUUUUUUUUUUUUUUUGAGUUAUCACUAUUUGCAUUUUUGCAUUAUUGCUUUUCUUUUGGAUGUUGGGUUUCAUUUCUUACUGUGAGUUGCCUUUGCCUAGAUUACCUAUAUUUACUAAGGACACACCAAAUGCUAGUAUGUUGAGAGACAUUCUCCACAAUGGAAUUUAUUUUCAUGCAAAAGAGUUGAAAGAUGCAAAGACCUUGGUUGAUGGAAAUUUGGUAAAGACCUUGUAAACAUGGGUUCUAUGGGUUUUUUUUUUAUCAAAUUUUCUGUAUUGUGGCUACUAUCUUGCCUAAGGAGUGCUUUACUAUUUGGUUUCCUAGGAAUGGAGUAUUGCUUUCAUUCGAAUCUUACAUGACUUAGUAUCUAGGUUUUACUUGGUUUUGUGGACUAAGUUCUUUUCAUCUCACAGAAAUUGGACAGAUAUGUGUUGUGGAGAAAUCAAUUCUCUAGCUUUAGAGAAUCAUCUGAUUGCCAACCUAACUGCUUUUCAACCAAUUGCAGGCUGGUGCACUAAUGCUUGCUGAUAAUGGCAUAUGUUGCAUUGAUGAGUGCAGGGAUUAAGUUAAACCAUAUCAACAGUGGUGGCUGAGAUAAUCAAGGAAGAUUUGUGGCCUAAUCCUCUAAAGUAUUUCAAUAAUCCAUCCAACAAAGAAACUUUAGAAGGCGGACGGUCAGUUAACAGGCGAGGAGCUGAAAAGGGUCUUUUGCAAUCGAAGACAGUCCUGCUGUGAAUUCUAAGUCUUAAGAUCAAAGCUAUCCAAGAAAGGUAUGCAGGCAAUCAGGUUGAGAGAGGUUCUGCACUAUCUGCAUCCAACAAGCUUAUUGCUUGUGCAUGCAACAAUGGGAUUCUGCAACUCUUCACGGUUGCAACUUACUAUAUUCUGAAACGAUGGAGAAAAAUCUUACAAGAAUUCUCUCCUGUUAAACAAAAUCAUCAGUGAAUGAUAUUCAACAGGCUGCCACUCUCCAGAUGCUAUUGCUUGUCAAUUUUCAACCUCCGAAAAGCUCAGCGAUUAAUAUAGUGUUGGAGAAUUCUCAUUUAUGCAAUUGCUUAUUUCACAACUGUUUGCAUUGUUUAUGGAGAUCACCCGCU